Molecule: microRNA precursor, 59 nt
Filed under: Eisenia fetida (common brandling worm)
Lineage: Eukaryota; Metazoa; Annelida; Clitellata; Crassiclitellata; Lumbricidae
Description: Efe-Mir-1-P9_pre stem-loop
Source: RNAcentral
ACAUACUUCUCCACAGACCAUAGUGACAAUUGAUUUAUGGAAUGUAAAGAAGUAUGUGG